UAGCUGAUGUGUCACCUAACUUCUUUGUU
This 29-nucleotide non-coding RNA is filed under the name Mus musculus (house mouse). Lineage: Eukaryota; Metazoa; Chordata; Mammalia; Rodentia; Muridae. The record is from RNAcentral.